UACGUAGGUGGCAAGCGUUGUCCGGAUUUAUUGGGUUUAAAGGGUGCGUAGGCGGCUUAUUAAGUCAGUGGUGAAAUACUCUAGCUCAACUAGAGGGGUGCCAUUGAUACUGAUGAGCUUGAGUACAGAUGAGGUAGGCGGAAUUGACGGUGUAGCGGUGAAAUGCUUAGAUAUCGUCAAGAACACCUAUAGCGAAGGCAGCUUACUAGGCUGUAACUGACGCUGAGGCACGAAAGUGUGGGGAUCAAACAGGAUUAGAUACCCUGGUAGUCCACACUGUAAACGUUGAUUACUCGCUGUGUGCGAUAUACAGUACGCGGCCAAGCGAAAGCGAUAAGUAAUCCACCUGGGGAGUACGCCGGCAACGGUGAA
Molecule: ribosomal RNA, 372 nt
Filed under: uncultured bacterium
Lineage: Bacteria
Description: bacterial SSU rRNA
Rfam family: Bacterial small subunit ribosomal RNA
Source: RNAcentral